RNAcentral lists this ribosomal RNA (535 nucleotides) under Vibrionales bacterium FWOR031. RNAcentral's name for it is "bacterial SSU rRNA". It matches the Rfam family "Bacterial small subunit ribosomal RNA", at positions 59 to 573 of the family's 1533-position model. Lineage: Bacteria; Pseudomonadati; Pseudomonadota; Gammaproteobacteria; Vibrionales. The record is from RNAcentral.
CAGUCGAGCGGAACGACUUAACUGAACCUUCGGGGAACGUUAAGGGCGUCGAGCGGCGUUACGGGUGAGUAAUGCCUGGGAAAUUGCCCUGAUGUGGGGGAUAACCAUUGGAAACGAUGGCUAAUACCGCAUAAUAGCUUCGGCUCAAAGAGGGGGACCUUCGGGCCUCUCGCGUCAGGAUAUGCCCAGGUGGGAUUAGCUAGUUGGUGAGGUAAGGGCUCACCAAGGCGACGAUCCCUAGCUGGUCUGAGAGGAUGAUCAGCCACACUGGAACUGAGACACGGUCCAGACUCCUACGGGAGGCAGCAGUGGGGAAUAUUGCACAAUGGGCGCAAGCCUGAUGCAGCCAUGCCGCGUGUAUGAAGAAGGCCUUCGGGUUGUAAAGUACUUUCAGCAGUGAGGAAGGUGGAUGCGUUAAUAGCGUAUUCAUUUGACGUUAGCUGCAGAAGAAGCACCGGCUAACUCCGUGCCAGCAGCCGCGGUAAUACGGAGGGUGCGAGCGUUAAUCGGAAUUACUGGGCGUAAAGCGCAUGCA